RNAcentral lists this small nuclear RNA (23 nucleotides) under Arabidopsis thaliana (thale cress). RNAcentral's name for it is "snRNA_06319". The record is from RNAcentral. Lineage: Eukaryota; Viridiplantae; Streptophyta; Magnoliopsida; Brassicales; Brassicaceae.
AACCUAAUUAAGAAUUUGAUGAU